AAAUUGAAGAGUUUGAUCAUGGCUCAGAUUGAACGCUGGCGGCAGGCCUAACACAUGCAAGUCGAGCGGAAACGGCAGCAUUGAAGCUUCGGUGGAUUUGCUGGACGUCGAGCGGCGGACGGGUGAGUAACGGCUGGGAACCUGCCCUGACGCGGGGGAUAACCGUUGGAAACGACGGCUAAUACCGCAUAAUGUCUUAGUUCAUUACGAGCUGGGACCAAAGGUGGCCUCUACAUGUAAGCUAUCGCGUUGGGAUGGGCCCAGUUAGGAUUAGCUAGUUGGUAAGGUAAUGGCUUACCAAGGCGACGAUCCUUAGCUGGUUUGAGAGGAUGAUCAGCCACACUGGGACUGAGACACGGCCCAGACUCCUACGGGAGGCAGCAGUGGGGAAUAUUGCACAAUGGGGGAGACCCUGAUGCAGCCAUGCCGCGUGUGUGAAGAAGGCCUUCGGGUUGUAAAGCACUUUCAGCAGUGAGGAAGGUGGUGUACUUAAUAAGUGCAUAGCUUGACGUUAGCUGCAGAAGAAGCACCGGCUAACUCCGUGCCAGCAGCCGCGGUAAUACGGAGGGUGCGAGCGUUAAUCGGAAUUACUGGGCGUAAAGCGCAUGCAGGCGGUUUGUUAAGUCAGAUGUGAAAGCCCGGGGCUCAACCUCGGAACCGCAUUUGAAACUGGCAGGCUAGAGUCUUGUAGAGGGGGGUAGAAUUUCAGGUGUAGCGGUGAAAUGCGUAGAGAUCUGAAGGAAUACCAGUGGCGAAGGCGGCCCCCUGGACAAAGACUGACGCUCAGAUGCGAAAGCGUGGGUAGCAAACAGGAUUAGAUACCCUGGUAGUCCACGCCGUAAACGCUGUCUACUUGGAGGUUGAGGUUUAGACUUUGGCUUUCGGCGCUAACGCAUUAAGUAGACCGCCUGGGGAGUACGGCCGCAAGGUUAAAACUCAAAUGAAUUGACGGGGGCCCGCACAAGCGGUGGAGCAUGUGGUUUAAUUCGAUGCAACGCGAAGAACCUUACCUACUCUUGACAUCCAGAGAACUUUCCAGAGAUGGAUUGGUGCCUUCGGGAGCUCUGAGACAGGUGCUGCAUGGCUGUCGUCAGCUCGUGUUGUGAAAUGUUGGGUUAAGUCCCGCAACGAGCGCAACCCUUAUCCUUGUUUGCCAGCACAUAAUGGUGGGAACUCCAGGGAGACUGCCGGUGAUAAACCGGAGGAAGGUGGGGACGACGUCAAGUCAUCAUGGCCCUUACGAGUAGGGCUACACACGUGCUACAAUGGCAGAUACAGAGGGCAGCGAAGCUGCGAAGUGGAGCGAAUCCCUUAAAGUCUGUCGUAGUCCGGAUUGGAGUCUGCAACUCGACUCCAUGAAGUCGGAAUCGCUAGUAAUCGUGGAUCAGAAUGCCACGGUGAAUACGUUCCCGGGCCUUGUACACACCGCCCGUCACACCAUGGGAGUGGGCUGCACCAGAAGUAGAUAGCUUAACCUUCGGGAGGGCGUUUACCACGGUGUGGUUCAUGACUGGGGUGAAGUCGUAACAAGGUAGCCCUAGGGGAACCUGGGGCUGGAUCACCUCCUUA
RNAcentral lists this ribosomal RNA (1569 nucleotides) under Salinivibrio kushneri. RNAcentral describes it as "bacterial SSU rRNA". It matches the Rfam family "Bacterial small subunit ribosomal RNA". The record is from RNAcentral. Lineage: Bacteria; Pseudomonadati; Pseudomonadota; Gammaproteobacteria; Vibrionales; Vibrionaceae.